Molecule: long non-coding RNA, 1893 nt
Organism: Marmota flaviventris (yellow-bellied marmot)
Lineage: Eukaryota; Metazoa; Chordata; Mammalia; Rodentia; Sciuridae
Source: RefSeq, a predicted model, not a curated record
UCCCGCGUAGUGCCUGGGUGCAGUGGGUCUGAGAGCAGCUUGACCCAGCAUGGUGCUGGGGUCUGGAUAGGGACCGACUGGGCGAGAUCCACAACGGUUGGGAGCAAGACUGCGGUGGGGUGCCCCUUGCCCCCAGCGGAGGGAGGUCCUCGGGGCUGUUCCCCCAUGAGCUCGCCUGCCAACCACGAGGGCGACCGGCCAGACACACAGGACAGCGUGGGAACAGCUAGAAAUAAGAGGCACGAGCCUUGCUGGCUGCUCCAACUCCGGCAGCUCGGGACCCGCGUCUAGUUAGUGUCUCCGGGAACUUUCAAGGCCAGUACGGAAGCCUAUGCCCCUUACUCGUGCUGAGCAGAGCCCUGCCCCAUGCACUGUCCCCUGCCCCUGCCGCACCCUGCUCCCGAGCGCCACGCGCCGGCCGAGUUGCCCGCCCACCUCCCUGGGCUGGCGCCCAGGGCACAGACCCGCGCCCCAAGACGCGCAGACCGGGAUCUCCCGUUUGGCUGGCAGCGCCGGGACUUGGGGGCGAGGUCCCCUCGGCCCAGCCCCGUUUCGGUUCCAUCGCGGAGAGGCGAAGAGUCCCCGGAAGGGCAGCGAUGGCCGGGGAGCCUGGGACAGCGGCUCUGGGAGACGCGCCCUGGGACCCGGCUGCAAGCGGAGGCCAGGGCACUGCGCCCUCUGCGCCCUCUGCUUGGGAAGCUCCAACCCCUGCGGGUGGCGGUGACGGAGGAGAUCUGGGCCCCCGACCCUGUGCCCGCCCGGCUGGAUGGAACCCAGUGCCGGCCGCGUGCAGUCUUCCUGCUGUGCGGCCGGCCUCGGCGCGGGUGGCCUUGGCCAGCUCGCAGCCGCAGCCGCUGCGCUCCACCAACGGAGCCCGGGCUCAGGCAGCGCCAGGGCGAGGAUCCUGCGCACGCAGGCGCCGCCCUCACUCGCCUCGCCUUUCGCCCACCUGGUCCCUUUUUCUUUUCAGGUGAAGGAGCUGCUGCCGCGCGCGCUCGCUCGCGCGCCGUCGGUUUGAAACAAGCCCAGCUCUCCACGUCCCGGGUUGGAGAGACACUUCUCCUGUCCCGGAGCCCGACCGUGUGAGCAGGAGGGAGGAUGGAGCAGAGGCCCUGCCUGGGCUUGCCUGGGCUUGUUCAGAGUUGGGCUGCUUUGCCUGGCGACCUCGCAGAUCUGGGGCAUUUGGAGAUGUUUCGGGAGCUUGCAGCCAAGAACCAGGGCAGGAGGGACCUGGAAGCCUGGGCCACCUGCUCCCAGCGCCAAGGGGGAGCACAGUAAGUCAUUCCCAGCCUGCCUCCCUCUCGGGGUUGCCAGGAGGACCACCUGAGAUGGGUCGUCUGUUCCCAGAGACUCCUUGAUCUACCGUGUUCAAGGCUCUGUGCUCCAAGUGCAAAGCAAGAAGGCGCCCGGUGUCCUGGGAGGCUUUCCUGACGGUCAGGACCACAGGAGCUAAUUCCAGGCCGAGGCUGUUGGCAGCAGUGACACUGGUGGCUAAUGAUAAAGGCUCCCCAAGGAACCCCAGCUGACAACCCACUGGCUCCUCCCACAGACGCCGACUUGGGGCCACUGUACUGUGGCCACCUGUUUGCCAUGGCAUCAGGAGCCGGACCCAGCCUGCAGAGGACCCAGAGGGAAGACACCGGGUGGCUUCUCAGGUCUCAGACAUGGCAAGGUCGUGGCCUCCCGAAGUCGUGAUGACCCCCGAGUGGGUCCCGUGCCUUUGUCUCUUGGCUCUGACACUGAACCCAGAGUGCUCCGCUUCUCUGUCCCAUCGUUCUCAAGUCUGUGCUUACAGAAACCCAUCUGAGUGAGCCGGGCUCGGUGGCACACGCCUGUAAUCCAGCGGCUCCGGAGGCUGAGGCAGGAGGAUCACGAGUUCAAAGGCAGCCUCAG